ACACAUGCAGUCGAACGGCAGCACAGUAAGAGCUUGUCUUACGGGUGGCGAGUGGCGGANGGGUGAGGAAUACAUCGGAAUCUACUUUUUCGUGGGGGAUAACGUAGGGAAACUUACGCUAAUACCGCAUACGACCUACGGGUGAAAGCAGGGGACCUUCGGGCCUUGCGCGAUUGAAUGAGCCGAUGUCGGAUUAGCUAGUUGGCGGGGUAAAGGCCCACCAAGGCGACGAUCCGUAGCUGGUCUGAGAGGAUGAUCAGCCACACUGGAACUGAGACACGGUCCAGACUCCUACGGGAGGCAGCAGUGGGGAAUAUUGGACAAUGGGCGCAAGCUGACCCAGCCAUACCGCGUGGGUAGAAGGCCUUCGGUUGUAAAGCCCUUUUGUUGGAAANAAANCCAGCCGGCUAAUACUUGGUUGGAAUGACGGAACCCAAAGAAAAGCACGG
This 449-nucleotide ribosomal RNA is filed under the name Stenotrophomonas maltophilia. RNAcentral's name for it is "bacterial SSU rRNA". It matches the Rfam family "Bacterial small subunit ribosomal RNA", at positions 51 to 495 of the family's 1533-position model. The record is from RNAcentral. Lineage: Bacteria; Pseudomonadati; Pseudomonadota; Gammaproteobacteria; Lysobacterales; Lysobacteraceae.